ACAGAGAAGAAUUAAAGACACGCUGGGGCUGAGCCAAGAGAGAACUUCCCCUUGAUGUAAUCAGCAAAUAAGAAAGUUUAGAUGUGUGACUAUGGACAUCUAUCUCUUUGGACAUCAAAAUGUUUUCUACAGGAAAGUACUGGACACCCGUUCAGUAAGACCCAGCCCACUGUUUGAUGCAGCUUUGAGCAGCUAGAGGAGGAAGAGUUUCCCUCUACUCGCUGACGGAAAAGGAGAGGAGCAAAUAAGGAGUUAGUCAGUCAUAGCACAGAAAGUCAACUGCACCGGAAGAGGCAGUAAGUGUUUCUUACUUUCCAUGGAAGGGAUGUUUGCAUCUUCAUGAAUCCAGGGACAAAGGAAAGUGAGUAAGCAACGUGGUUUGCCAUUUAUUUUUUGAUCUGUCUAGGAGGAGG
RNAcentral lists this long non-coding RNA (413 nucleotides) under Homo sapiens (human). RNAcentral's name for it is "HSALNT0233780". Lineage: Eukaryota; Metazoa; Chordata; Mammalia; Primates; Hominidae. The record is from RNAcentral.